RNAcentral lists this small RNA (2362 nucleotides) under Pan troglodytes (chimpanzee). RNAcentral's name for it is "retained intron". Lineage: Eukaryota; Metazoa; Chordata; Mammalia; Primates; Hominidae. The record is from RNAcentral.
ACGUGCCUCGGUUUCCGUUAGCAACCAGAGGCUUCUAAACAACCUACCCUCUUUCCCCAUUUUCUGUGGUCCAACUACCCUCGGCGAUCCCAGGCUUGGCGGGGCACCGCCUGGCCUCUCCCGUUCCUUUAGGCUGCCGCCGCCGCCUGCCGCCAUGGCAGAGUUGGGCCUAAAUGAGCACCAUCAAAAUGAAGUUAUUAAUUAUAUGCGUUUUGCUCGUUCAAAGAGAGGCUUGAGACUCAAAACUGUAGAUUCCUGCUUCCAAGACCUCAAGGAGAGCAGGCUGGUGGAGGAGACCUUCACCAUAGAUGAAGUCUCUGAAGUCCUCAAUGGAUUACAAGCUGUGGUUCAUAGUGAGGUGGAAUCUGAGCUCAUCAACACUGCCUAUACCAAUGUGUUACUUCUGCGACAGCUGUUUGCACAAGCUGAGAAGUGGUAUCUUAAGCUACAGACAGACAUCUCUGAACUUGAAAACCGGUAAUAAAAUUUGAACUUGCAACUGCGACAAUAAUGGCCCAAGCAUAAUCUUAAAAGUUAGUGAACAUCUUUGGCUGCAUAUUUUCUUGGGGCUAGCGUGUGAGGAAAUUUGGGUAGGGUAACAGCAAAGCAUUGAGUCACUGAGUGAUCUCUUGGGUACCACUAAGCACCCUUUUAAAAGUUCUCUGUUUCUACUGUUCCUAGGUAUUACAAAGGCCAUCGAGAUUUAUGAAAUUGCUUUUCAGGCUAUCAUUAAUUAUUUCUUACAGCAUUUUUGUUAGCUUGGUCAGUAUUACCAUCAGAUUGGUCAACUAAGAAAUAAAGAUUAUGAGACAGUUGAAAAGUCAAUUCAAAUAUAAUAAAUACCAUCAAUUCAAUCCAGUAGCAUUGGAAGUUUUCCAAAUAAUGGAAUUUAAAAGUAUACAUUUAUUAACUUUGAAAUAGGAAAUAUACAAAAAAGCUUAUAAUAUGGACAUCUAAGAGCUCAAAUUCAAAAAAUAUGGUAAAAUUGGUGAAGCUGAAACUCAUUUUAAGAAAAAGCAUGCCAGAAAUCAGGAAGGACUGACCACCAAGCCCCGUGAACUACUCUAAGCACAGUCACAGCACAUCAGUUCACAUGCAGAGUGUUGAACAACGCUGAGGACAACCUGUGAGCUGGGGAGGAAAAUCAUUGAACUUCUGCCACUGUCAGUAGAUGACUGGUGAGAAAACUCUGAGAAGGUGGUGCUUUAAGAAGCUUAGAAGCUGACUGCUGUUAACACUCUAAGCUUGUGUAUAGUCACUUCUCAUUGGCCUUUGCAAAUCUUCAGAUGGCACACCCCCACUAUCUGUCUUUCCUAGGAAUUUGUGGUACUCUUUUUCAGUAGAUACUAUGGACUAUUUUCAUUUUUCUGAGGCUACUUUAUUAAGAAUCUUUUUUGAACACCUACUAGCUAACAAUACAUAUUAUGUAAUAAAACAGUCUCCUCAUAGCACCUCAAGAAUACAAAGUUGACUAUAAAUUUUCCUCAUAUUUGUAUUAACAUUAUGGUUUAUUUCUAGCAGUGGAUAUUGCAUGCCUAGUAGAUACAAAAUGCCAGGUACUGUGGAUGAUUACAUUUGAGUCCAUGUGGUUUAGGUUCUCAACCAUUUGCAACUAAUAUUUUUGAUAUGGUGAAGUUUGGUCCACCUUGCUCUGUUCUCUCUGGCAUGUAAUGGGUUGGUACCAGUGAUUUUACUCUUCUUGCGUGUGAUAUAAAUCUAUUUUAAAUGAAUAAUUUUUAUCUUUGCUUUCUUCUUCAAGAGAAUUAUUAGAACAAGUUGCAGAAUUUGAAAAAGCAGAGAUUACAUCUUCAAACAAAAAGCCCAUCUUAGAUGUCACAAAGCCAAAACUUGCUCCACUUAAUGAAGGUGGAACAGCAGAACUCCUAAACAAGGUAAUAUUAUUAUUUUGAGAAACGGAAAGUCUCUCAUUCUGUCCUGUCAUUGCCUAGGGUGGAGAAACAGAAGUGGAAGGUUUGGUUCAGUUCCUCUGAGGAUAAUUAGUCCAUUGCAGUAGUUUUACUUGAUGGUACCCCAUGGGCCAGAAGAGGGCAUACUUAACCUUCUAGAGAGCCUGAAGUAGCUCCUGAUCACACCUUUUCAAGGUAAAGUGAAGAGCAUGAAAUUUUGGACAGCGUUUAUUGAUGGACAUUUAAAGUUUGUGAUCUGCGGUAACAAGGAGAAGGGUUUUUAAGUUUAUAAAAAUUAUUUAUCAAUUAGCCGGGUGUGGUGGUACGUGCCUGUAGUCACAGCUACUCGGGAGGCUGAGGCAGGAGAAUUGCUUGAACCCGGGAGGUAGAGGUUGCAGUGAGCUGAGAUCACGCCACUGCACUCUAGCCUGGGCGACAGAGCGAGACUCCAUCUC